RNAcentral lists this ribosomal RNA (490 nucleotides) under uncultured bacterium. RNAcentral describes it as "partial 16S ribosomal RNA". It matches the Rfam family "Bacterial small subunit ribosomal RNA", at positions 30 to 507 of the family's 1533-position model. The record is from RNAcentral.
AUUGAACGCUGGCGGCAGGCCUAACACAUGCAAGUCGAACGGCAACAGGAAGCAGCUUGCUGCUUUGCUGACGAGUGGCGGACGGGUGAGUAAUGUCUGGGAAACUGCCUGAUGGAGGGGGAUAACUACUGGAAACGGUAGCUAAUACCGCAUAACGUCGCAAGACCAAAGAGGGGGACCUUCGGGCCUCUUGCCAUCGGAUGUGCCCAGAUGGGAUUAGCUAGUAGGUGGGGUAACGGCUCACCUAGGCGACGAUCCCUAGCUGGUCUGAGAGGAUGACCAGCCACACUGGAACUGAGACACGGUCCAGACUCCUACGGGAGGCAGCAGUGGGGAAUAUUGCACAAUGGGCGCAAGCCUGAUGCAGCCAUGCCGCGUGUAUGAAGAAGGCCUUCGGGUUGUAAAGUACUUUCAGCGGGGAGGAAGGGAGUAAAGUUAAUACCUUUGCUCAUUGACGUUACCCGCAGAAGAAGCACCGGCUAACUCCGUG